AAGGGAGACCUGAUUCGGGUAUAAGACGAAAAAAGAGUAGUCGAAACCAAGAAUCAAUCCCAAAAGGUCAGAACGAGGUAUGUGGCUUUCAAACUAGGUUCUGGGUUCACACAAGACCUGAAUCAGGAACAAGGGCUAUUAGCUCAGGUGGUUAGAGCGCACCCCUGAUAAGGGUGAGGUCCCUGGUUCGAGUCCAGGAUGGCCCACCUGCACAGGUGGCAAAAACAAAGAAGCGAAGAAUCAGCACCUUAUCUUAUCUAUAUAUAAGAGAGAAUGCUGGCUCUGAGUAAAGAGUCCAGAGGAACCUUGAAAACUGCAUAGAGCUAGGUGAAAAAGCCAAAAAAGAAGACCGCAA
Molecule: transfer RNA, 355 nt
Filed under: uncultured Microcystis sp.
Lineage: Bacteria; Bacillati; Cyanobacteriota; Cyanophyceae; Chroococcales; Microcystaceae
Description: partial 16S-23S ribosomal RNA intergenic spacer
Rfam family: tRNA (bases 133-206)
Source: RNAcentral